This 429-nucleotide ribosomal RNA is filed under the name Bacteroidota bacterium. RNAcentral describes it as "Bacteroidetes bacterium partial 16S ribosomal RNA". It matches the Rfam family "Bacterial small subunit ribosomal RNA", at positions 355 to 776 of the family's 1533-position model. Lineage: Bacteria; Pseudomonadati; Bacteroidota. The record is from RNAcentral.
UAGGGAAUCUUCCGCAAUGGACGCAAGUCUGACGGAGCAACGCCGCGUGAGUGAAGAAGGAUUUCGGUUCGUGAAACUCUGUUGUUAGAGAAGAACAGCGCAUAGAGUAACUGUUAUGCGUGUGACGGUAUCUAACCAGAAAGCCACGGCUAACUACGUGCCAGCAGCCGCGGUAAUACGUAGGUGGCAAGCGUUGUCCGGAUUUAUUGGGCGUAAAGCGAGCGCAGGCGGUCAAUUAAGUCUGAUGUGAAAGCCCCCGGCUCAACCGGGGAGGGUCAUUGGAAACUGGUUGACUUGAGUGCAGAAGAGGAGAGUGGAAUUCCAUGUGUAGCGGUGAAAUGCGUAGAUAUAUGGAGGAACACCAGUGGCGAAGGCGACUCUCUGGUCUGUAACUGACGCUGAGGCUCGAAAGCGUGGGUAGCAAACAGG